This 253-nucleotide ribosomal RNA is filed under the name uncultured bacterium. RNAcentral's name for it is "partial 16S ribosomal RNA". It matches the Rfam family "Bacterial small subunit ribosomal RNA", at positions 524 to 776 of the family's 1533-position model. The record is from RNAcentral.
UACGUAGGGGGCUAGCGUUGUCCGGAUUUAUUGGGCGUAAAGCGCGUGUAGGCGGCCAGGAAGGUCCGCUGUGAAAACUCGAGGCUCAACCUCGAGAUGUCGGCGGAAACCCUCUGGCUAGAGUCCGGAAGAGGAGAGUGGAAUUCCCGGCGUAGCGGUGAAAUGCGCAGAUAUCGGGAAGAACACCCGUGGCGAAGGCGGCUCUCUGGGACGGUACUGACGCUGAGACGCGAAAGCGUGGGGAGCGAACAGG